GAGGAGAGCAGGUCAUCAAGGUCUGA
RNAcentral lists this non-coding RNA (26 nucleotides) under Mus musculus (house mouse). The record is from RNAcentral. Lineage: Eukaryota; Metazoa; Chordata; Mammalia; Rodentia; Muridae.